Molecule: transfer RNA, 76 nt
Filed under: Candidatus Bathyarchaeota archaeon
Lineage: Archaea; Thermoproteati; Candidatus Bathyarchaeota
Also listed under: 2 other names
Description: tRNA-Cys
Rfam family: tRNA
About the family: Transfer RNA (tRNA) molecules are approximately 80 nucleotides in length.
Source: RNAcentral
GCCGGGGUGGCCGAGUGGUUCAGGCGGUGGGCUGCAGACCCGCUCUACGUGGGUUCGAUUCCCACCCCCGGCUCCA